Molecule: transfer RNA, 67 nt
Filed under: Heterosigma akashiwo
Lineage: Eukaryota; Raphidophyceae; Chattonellales; Chattonellaceae
Source: RNAcentral
GACGAGAUGGCGGACCUCGCUGCGGCCCUCGACCUGCAGACCGUUCGGCCCAUAAUCCUUGAACCGG